GUUAAACUAGAUAUUUUGAUAAGAAAGUAUUAUGGUUAUAAUCCUAUGAUAUAGACUAAGAUUGAACCCGUUUCUGGAACAGUUCUUGGAUUGUUUUAUUCUGUGAGAGAUUCGAGACUCUGUCCUGGUUCCAAUCGUAACCAUAUAACGGAAUUAUGAAACCUUGCUUCCUAAUCAUUUCAUAUUUUUCAUAUUUUAUUCAACUACAAAGCACGAGAUAAUACAAAUAAAAAAAUCACAAUUUA
This is a long non-coding RNA of Eurytemora carolleeae, 245 nucleotides long. RefSeq lists it as uncharacterized. The transcript has 2 exons. Lineage: Eukaryota; Metazoa; Arthropoda; Copepoda; Calanoida; Temoridae. The record is from RefSeq and is a predicted model, not a curated record.